Macaca mulatta (Rhesus monkey) is the source of this 1255-nucleotide long non-coding RNA. RefSeq lists it as uncharacterized. NCBI's taxonomy places the organism in Eukaryota, Metazoa, Chordata, Mammalia, Primates, Cercopithecidae. The record is from RefSeq and is a predicted model, not a curated record.
GGAGGCCAGGAGUAGGUGCCACACAGAGGGGACCUGGGAGGACCCCUGGCACCAGCAGACAGGAGGUCUAGGUCUGUGCUCUGUCACUGCUCCUAAGGGUCUAGUCAGGUCCUGUGCAGUGUCUGGGCCUCAUUCCUUCAGGUGUGAUAUCUUGGCUGGUCUUAAAGAUGCACUUGGCUCUGAUUCCUAGGAGGCUCCUGAUAGUCCUGUUCUACCCGACCUAGUUAGGGAGAGUUCCUGCUCCCCUGGCUCUAUCCCUCCCCUUCCCUGACCUCCAAUCCCUUGUUCUUCCCCUGGCCAGCUUUUUCCUCCAUUCAAGACUUUGAGGUUCCUUCUGCCUAGGUCUCCUCUCAGUCCCAGAGACCUCUGUGGCUCCUGCCCCACACCCCUGUGUCAUAGUGAGUUCAGGGUGAGCCCUUAUACAAGUAGCUCCAGCCACAAGGGGCCUGGCUAAGGGACACAGCAGCAGCAGGUGACAUCCUGGCCCAAGUCCAUCCUCCUUUCUCCUUCCUCCCUGCAGGAAAUCAAGUGCCCCAUCUGCCCUGGCUCAGCUGACCCCAAACUCCUGGUCUCUGUGCUAUGUGGACUCCUCCUGGCCAAGGCCCUGAUGCUGUGAGUCCUGUUUGUGUUCCUGACCUGCAGGUGCCACAGGACAGCAAUGACGGAGGUUUCUGAUUGUAUUAGCCCAGCCUUGCCCCAGAACCCUUGGGUGCGUGAGCCACAGCGCGGAUCCAGGAUGAAUCCCAGUUCUUCCCCUGCCCAGCUACUGGGAGCCGCCCUAAGCAUUGCGCCCCACCUCCCCGUGAGGAAAGGCCAGCGCUAAGCCUAUUGGCGAGAACUUUCAGCCCCUGAUCUCCCCGGUGGUGACCCCUCACCCCUGCCCAGAGCCCUCUUACAUCUACUUCGGCUGCCCUGCCUUUCGCCAUUGGGAAGACCUGGGGCGGGGGUUUCUGUAUCCGGGUCAACGCCCAGCUCAGCAUCUUCAGCUGUGCCAGCCCUCGUCUCCAGCACUCUGUGGUUUUCUCAGCCCCACCUCAGCAGGUCUCCAGGAUCCCUCACAUUUUCCCUGUUUGUUGCCUGUGGUCUGCCCGAGAGUCCUAUCAGUUUCCUCUUGUGCUUAAUUAAAUUCAACCUCUAAACUGAAAUGUGUCAGGGGCAACUGAGCAAGAGGGCAGAUGUAUCCCCUCAACCUCCUCCCCUUCCACCCUAAAUGAGAGAGAAGUGACUUAAAAAUAAACGAUAAAAUUGAAACUAA